Molecule: long non-coding RNA, 285 nt
Organism: Zingiber officinale
Lineage: Eukaryota; Viridiplantae; Streptophyta; Magnoliopsida; Zingiberales; Zingiberaceae
Exons: 3
Source: RefSeq, a predicted model, not a curated record
AUUUGUAUCAUCUUCAGGAACUGGCAAAUGGUCAAAACAAGUUUAAUAAUAAGGAGCACACAUAUAGCUUGAUAUCUGAAUUGCUUCGCUUGCUGAAACAUAUCUAUCAGAACCAAUUAAAUGAGCUGGAAGUAAAGCAAGGGGAUCAAGAAGGUGGAUUUUCUGGUGUACUUCUUCGAGUAUAUGAGCCUCAUAAUGAGCUUGUUAACUGUAAUUAUUGCAGGACUUCACUAGUGGAUUUUCACAGAAGCUGCUAAAAUUGCUCUUACAAACUUUGCUUAGAUU